This 73-nucleotide transfer RNA is filed under the name uncultured Prochlorococcus sp. RNAcentral describes it as "tRNA-Ala". Lineage: Bacteria; Bacillati; Cyanobacteriota; Cyanophyceae; Synechococcales; Prochlorococcaceae. The record is from RNAcentral.
GGGUAUAUAUCUCAUGGGGUAGAGCCUGUGCUGCAAGCAGCGAUGUGUCCGCGUCUCGUCCGCUUACCUCUCC